GACGAACGCUGGCGGCGUGCUUAACACAUGCAAGUCGAACGGUGAACCUCUUCGGAGGGGAUCAGUGGCGAUCGGGUGCGUAAGACGUGGGCAACCUGCCCGCGUCUCUGGGAUAACUCCAAGAAAUUGGGGCUAAUACCGGACGGUCACCGCUUCUCGCAAGGGUGGGGGUGAAAAGGUUUUCCCGCUGGGGAUGGGCACGCGGCGGAUGAGCUUGUUGGUGGGGUAGUGGCAUACCAAGGCGACGACGGGUAGGCGACCUGAGGGGGUGGCCGGCGACCCUACGCCUGCGACACGGCCCAGUCUCCAACGUUAGGCAACGGUGGAGAGUGUUACGCAGCAGGCCGGAGCGUGUCGCGACGGCGCCGCGUGGGGGAAGCCGGCCUUCGAGUUGUGAACCACUUUCAGCUGGUACGGGGCGCAAGUGACGGUACCUGAAGAAGAAGCCCCGGCUAACUACGUG
Molecule: ribosomal RNA, 463 nt
Filed under: uncultured bacterium
Lineage: Bacteria
Description: partial 16S ribosomal RNA
Rfam family: Bacterial small subunit ribosomal RNA
Source: RNAcentral